GACGAACGCUGGCGGCGUGCCUAAUACAUGCAAGUCGAGCGCAGGAAACUGACGGAACUCUUCGGAGGGAAGGCAGUGGAAUGAGCGGCGGACGGGUGAGUAACACGUAAGGAACCUGCCUCAAGGAUUGGGAUAACUCCGAGAAAUCGGAGCUAAUACCGGAUAGUUCAUCGGACCGAAUGGUCCGCUGAUGAAAGGCGCUUCGGCGUCACAGUGAGAUGGCCUUGCGGUGCAUUAGCUAGUUGGUGGGGUAACGGCCCACCAAGGCGACGAUGCAUAGCCGACCUGAGUGGGUGAUCGGCCACACUGGGACUGAGACACGGCCCAGACUCCUACGGGAGGCAGCAGUAGGGAAUCUUCCACAAUGGACGAAAGUCUGAUGGAGCAACGCCGCGUGAGUGAUGAAGGUUUUCGGAUCGUAAAACUCUGUUGUAAGGGAAGAACACGUACGAGAGGGAAUGCUCGUACCUUGACGGUACCUUACGAGAAAGCCACGGCUAACUACGUGCCAGCCGCCGCGGUAA
RNAcentral lists this ribosomal RNA (524 nucleotides) under uncultured bacterium. RNAcentral's name for it is "partial 16S ribosomal RNA". It matches the Rfam family "Bacterial small subunit ribosomal RNA", at positions 28 to 523 of the family's 1533-position model. The record is from RNAcentral.